AGAAAACCAUGGACGUGGAGCUGAAGUCUGACCUGUCCCAAGACUUAUAGCUAAGUCUCCCGAGACUGCCUCAGAAGCCCUGAGGUUUCAUUGGUCACAAGAAGGCAGUGAUCCUGUCCCCUUACAGGACCUACCGAAAGCCCAUCUCUUCUGUUCUGUGAAGCCAGUCACCCUCUGGUAAGUCAGAACCCUAAAGUUUCUCCGAUGAGCUCACAGAGUCAAUGAGAUGGACUUGGACAUGGCUGGAUUGGAUGCAGGCACUGCUGCGGACAUCUUGCCCUCAUGUAGAGCCUGAGGGUGACAUGAAGGUAGAGGCAGGCAGGUGGGACACAUGGAGCAAGAUCAAGUUCAGAGGCAUCAAGUGAGUCCCUGAAGCACACCAUGUGGGUUCCACCUCAAACCUUCCUGUUACA
Hyaena hyaena (striped hyena) is the source of this 413-nucleotide long non-coding RNA. RefSeq lists it as uncharacterized. The record is from RefSeq and is a predicted model, not a curated record. NCBI's taxonomy places the organism in Eukaryota, Metazoa, Chordata, Mammalia, Carnivora, Hyaenidae. The transcript has 3 exons.